GACGAACGCUGGCGGCGUGCUUAACACAUGCAAGUCGAACGGGCCCGCUCUCUUUUUUGGGGGUGGGUUGAGUGGCGAACGGGUGAGUAUCACGUGAGUAACCUGCCCCCUGCUCCUGGAUAACUGCUUGAAAGGGCGGCUAAUACGGGGUGUGCCGGCUGGUCCGCAUGGGCCUGGUCGGGAUAGUUUCAUCUUCGGGUGUCUCGGUGGGGGAUGGGCUCGCGGCCUAUCAGCUUGUUGGUGGGGUGAUGGCCCACCAAGGCGGUGACGGGUAGCCGGCCUGAGAGGGUGGGCGGCCACACUGGGACUGAGACACGGCCCAGACUCCGGCGGGAGGCAGCAGGGGGGGGUAUUGCACAAUGGGCGGAAGCCUGAUGCAGCGACGUCGCGUGAGGGAUGGAGGCCGUCGGGUGGUGAACCUCUUUCUCCGGUGGUGAAGGCCCUGUCCGUUGCGGCGGGGUUGACGGUAGCCGGGUAUGAAGCGCCGGCUAACUACGUG
RNAcentral lists this ribosomal RNA (499 nucleotides) under uncultured bacterium. RNAcentral describes it as "partial 16S ribosomal RNA". It matches the Rfam family "Bacterial small subunit ribosomal RNA", at positions 28 to 507 of the family's 1533-position model. The record is from RNAcentral.